Neotoma lepida (desert woodrat) is the source of this 58-nucleotide transfer RNA. It matches the Rfam family "tRNA", at positions 8 to 63 of the family's 71-position model. From Rfam's summary of the family: Transfer RNA (tRNA) molecules are approximately 80 nucleotides in length. The record is from Rfam. NCBI's taxonomy places the organism in Eukaryota, Metazoa, Chordata, Mammalia, Rodentia, Cricetidae.
UGGCUCAGUGGUUAAGAGCACUGACUGCUCUUCCAGAGGACCUGGGUUCAAUUCCCAG